This 301-nucleotide unclassified non-coding RNA is filed under the name uncultured Actinomycetes bacterium. RNAcentral's name for it is "uncultured actinobacterium partial 16S-23S ribosomal RNA intergenic spacer". The stretch from base 170 to 301 matches the Rfam family "Bacterial large subunit ribosomal RNA", at positions 1 to 131 of the family's 2925-position model. The record is from RNAcentral. Lineage: Bacteria; Bacillati; Actinomycetota; Actinomycetes.
UGUGACCCCUUCUGCAUGAUCCUCCUGGUGGGGGUUGUGGUGGUGGGGGUCUGCUGGUGAGCGGACCGGUCGUGGUAGGGUACUGCUCCCCGUGUGGGGGUGGGUUCUACUGUGUCGGCUGGGGCCGUCCGUACGUUGAGAACUGCACAGUGGACGCGAGCAUCUUUGUGGCCAAGUUAUUAAGGGCGCACGGUGGAUGUCUUGGCACCAGGAGCCGAUGAAGGACGUGGGAGGCUGCGAUAUGCCUCGGGGAGCUGCCAACCGAGCUGUGAUCCGAGGAUUUCCGAAUGGGGAAACCCGG